RNAcentral lists this unclassified non-coding RNA (1412 nucleotides) under uncultured Neocallimastigales. RNAcentral describes it as "partial contains small subunit ribosomal RNA, internal transcribed spacer 1, 5.8S ribosomal RNA, internal transcribed spacer 2, and large subunit ribosomal RNA". The stretch from base 656 to 1412 matches the Rfam family "Eukaryotic large subunit ribosomal RNA", at positions 1 to 617 of the family's 3401-position model. The record is from RNAcentral. Lineage: Eukaryota; Fungi; Neocallimastigomycota; Neocallimastigomycetes; Neocallimastigales.
UUUCCGUAGGUGAACCUGCGGAAGGAUCAUUAAAAAAUUGGACUCCAUUGGUGAGUUCAUUAAUAAUCCUACCCUUUGUGAAUUUGUUUGUUUGAAUAAUUUUUUUCCAAAAAAAAUUAUUGAAUGUCUUUCCCUGUUUUGGUGGAGCUUGUAAAGUGAAACCAGGCAGGGGAAUGGCAAACAAUAAUUAUUUUUGAAAAAGACCUUUUUUAAAAUUAAACUUUUUGUAUUCAUUUGUCUAAAAUUAUUUUUAUAAUAUAAAAACAACUUUUGACAAUGGAUCUCUUGGUUCUCGCAACGAUGAAGAACGCAGCAAAAUGCGAUAAGUAGUGUGAAUUGCAGAAUACGUGAAUCAUCGAAUCUUCGAACGCAUAUUGCACUUUUUUAGUUUACUAAAAAAGUAUGUCUGUUUGAGUAUCAGUAAAAUAUUCUCAUAAAAAAUUUAUUUUUUAUGGUUAUGAGUGUUUUACAACGAUAACAAGUUGUUUCACUUUAAAUUCUUUGUUAUCAAAAAAAUCAUUAAAAGCUAAUUUUAAAGAUUUUUUAAAAUUGGAUAAAAUUUUCCCGUAAAAAGGAAUAACCUAAACAAUUUUAAAAAAUUAAAAUUGGUUUGAUUUUUCUUGAUUUAAAAAGGAAAAAAAAGUAAAAAUUAACUUGAUCUCAAAUCAGAUAAGAGUACCCGCUGAACUUAAGCAUAUCAAUAAGCGGAGGAAAAGAAACUAACUAGGAUUCCCUCAGUAACGGCGAGUGAAGCGGGAAGAGCUCAAAUUUGAAAUCUUCAAGGUUUUACCUUGACGAAUUGUAGUUUAAAGAAGUGCUUUCUGUUGGAGUUUUGGUAAAAGUUCUUUGGAAAAGGACAUCAUAGAGGGUGAGAAUCCCGUAUUUGACCAUUAUCUCCAGCUUUGUGAUACACUUUCAAAGAGUCGGAUUGUUUGGGAAUGCAGUCCAAAAUGGGUGGUAAAUUUCAUCUAAAGCUAAAUACUGGCGAGAGACCGAUAGCGAACAAGUACCGUGAGGGAAAGAUGAAAAGAACUUUGAAAAGAGAGUUAAACAGUACGUGAAAUUGUCAAAAGGGAAGCGUUUGACACCAGUGUUGUUUUCUCGAAAAUCAAUUAAAAAAGGCCGGAUUUUGUGUUGUAUUGACUUUAUCAGCUUUCUGCACUUUUUUCUUGUCUUUUUUAAUGCACUUUUCGUUUAACAAGUCAACAUCAAUUUCUUUUGUUGUAAAAGGGUCAUUGGAAGGUGGCUUUCUUUUCGGAGAAAGUGUUUAUAGCCUUUGGCCUCUGCAAUCGGAGAGAUUGAGGUCUGCAGCGUAGAUCCUUCGGGUUAGAUACAUUUGUGCUAAGUUAUAGCCUUUCAUAGACAACUUGUUGACUAUGAUCAGUCAUGUAGCUUACUCGCCUAUGCUAUUU